CCGUAGGUGAACCUGCGGCGGGAUCAUUACUGA
This 33-nucleotide ribosomal RNA is filed under the name Colletotrichum acutatum. RNAcentral describes it as "partial 18S ribosomal RNA". Lineage: Eukaryota; Fungi; Ascomycota; Sordariomycetes; Glomerellales; Glomerellaceae. The record is from RNAcentral.